This 301-nucleotide ribosomal RNA is filed under the name uncultured bacterium. RNAcentral's name for it is "partial 16S ribosomal RNA". It matches the Rfam family "Bacterial small subunit ribosomal RNA", at positions 509 to 807 of the family's 1533-position model. The record is from RNAcentral.
CAGUCGCCGCGGGAAUACGUAGGGUGCGAGCGUUAAUCGGAAUUACUGGGCGUAAAGCGUGCGCAGGCGGUUGUGUAAGACAGGUGUGAAAUCCCCGGGCUUAACCUGGGAACUGCGCUUGUGACUGCACAGCUAGAGUAUGGCAGAGGGGUGUGGAGUUCCACGUGUAGCAGUGAAAUGCGUAGAGAUGUGGAGGAACACCGAUGGCGAAGGCAGCCCCCUGGGCCAAUACUGACGCUCAUGCACGAAAGCGUGGGGAGCAAACAGGAUUAGAUACCCGUGUAGUCCCUGUCUCUUAUAC